CCUACGGGAGGCAGCAGUGGGGAAUCUUGCACAAUGGAGGAAACUCUGAUGCAGCGAUGCCGCGUGAGUGAAGAAGGCCUUUGGGUUGUAAAGCUCUUUUGUAGGGGAAGAUAAUGACUGUACCCUAAGAAUAAGGUCCGGCUAACUUCGUGCCAGCAGCCGCGGUAAUACGAAGGGACCUAGCGUAGUUCGGAAUUACUGGGCGUAAAGCGCGCGUAGGCCGUUGAGUUAGUUAAUUGUGAAAUCCCAAAGCUUAACUUUGGAACUGCAAUUAAAACUGCUCGACUAGAGUUUGAUAGAGGAAAGCGGAAUACAUAGUGUAGAGGUGAAAUUCGUAGAUAUUAUGUAGAACACCAGUUGCGAAGGCGGCUUUCUGGAUCAACACUGACGCUGAGGCGCGAAAGUAUGGGUAGCAAAGAGGAUUAGAUGCCCUCGUAGUCCAUACCAUAAACGAUGAUUGCUAGAUGUUGGAAAUUUAUUUUCAGUAUCCGNNCUACNCAUAUACANCGCCGUGGAGUACGACGACGAAGUAAACGUACGAAGAAGUAAGUAGNGUUGNGAGUUGCGAGCGACGACGAGGGAGGAG
RNAcentral lists this ribosomal RNA (586 nucleotides) under uncultured bacterium. RNAcentral's name for it is "bacterial SSU rRNA". The stretch from base 1 to 511 matches the Rfam family "Bacterial small subunit ribosomal RNA", at positions 338 to 873 of the family's 1533-position model. The record is from RNAcentral.